Molecule: RNA transcript, 1976 nt
Organism: Salvia hispanica
Lineage: Eukaryota; Viridiplantae; Streptophyta; Magnoliopsida; Lamiales; Lamiaceae
Gene name: transcriptional regulator ATRX-like protein
Source: RefSeq, a predicted model, not a curated record
UUCUUGGAUUAUCCAACUUCAAUUAAUUUUUGGUUUGUUCUCUGCCCGCCCCGGUUAUAUCUUUUUCAGUAAGAACGAGGAACAAGAUAGUGAAAUUGCUGCAGAAAUAUGGGAGGCAAGGCUUCCUCUAAAUCAAAGUCGAGAGGCGACAAAAUUUCAUCCAAGAAGAAGGGUAGAAGAAAGGAAUCAAAGAAGCGGAGCCGAAGUUAUGAUUCAGUUAGCUCAUCUUCCGAUGAUGACUCGUUGUACUUGGAACAUAGAUCCUCCACUUUGAAAACUGAUCAUAGGAGAAGGCUAACUAAAACUAGCAAGCGUGGUCGUCAUGACUCUCCCUUGUCAGAUUCAGAUUCAUCAUCCACUGAUGUCAGUGAUUACAAGACAAGGAGGUCCCGAAGGUCUAGAGUUGUCUUAAAAGAUGUAAAAAGAAAACGCCGCAAGAGGGAUAUCCGCACCACUGGUGAUGUAGAUACAACCAGUGGACGGAAAAGGAAAAGAUCGGGUAAGGAUCAUGUCAGUAAGCCAAUAAAGAAAUCCUCAAAGAAGAAUUCAAGAAAAGUUGCGAGCAGUUCUUCAGGCUCAGAUUCGGAAAGCUGCUCCUUGUCGCAAAGUAGAAGUGGUAGCAGUAGUGGAGAUGAUAAGCUUCGAAGGAAUAAAGUAGCUUCUUCUAAGGUAAAAGAGAGGCUGAAACAUAGGCAAUCACGCAAGGGAAAGCAGAAGCAUGAAGAUAGGAGUCCAAGUUGUACAUCAAUCGGUAGGGGGGGUGACCCCAGUUAUAGUGUAGGUGGCAGUGACAGGGAACAUUUUCCUGUCGACAACUCUAGACGCCUGAGGUCAGUUAUCACUUUUGCUGAUCAACCCCAUGAUAAAGAUGGGAGUAGAUGGGAGAUGGAUCCUCAUAAAGAAGAGAUUGUGUAUGAUGAAUAUGAUUAUCCUUCUCCAAGAAGUAUCGACAGUAAUGAAGGGGGAAGUAAGAUGGAGGCAGGUGACCAAUCGAUUGUUUCAUUUAGUGACAGGAUAUGCCUAGAAAACGUUGCUGGUGACAAAGUAUGCGAACUGGGAAAAUCUGGAAUAGAUGAUGGUGAUCAUCAUCAGUCAGAAGGAUGCAUAAAUAAACCUGAGGAGAAAGAGAUUGGUACAUCUGUUCCUGUUGCUGCUUCGGGAGGGGGUGAUCUGGAGUCAAUUCUGAGGCAGAAAGCCUUGGAAAAUUUGAGGAAGUUUCGCAGGAUGCCCCAAACUCGUCCAAGGAGCAAUGUGGUGGAGAGAGAUAAUGAGAGUAAUGUGGCCACACUUCCCGAUAGAACAGUAGAUAUCGGUGAGAACGUUCCAAUAGAGCAUGGUAUCUCUGAUUAUCAAGAAACGAAUCAGAGAAAUGGGCUCCUAGCAAUUCAAAGAGAAAUUGUGACGCUCCCGGAUAGUGAACACAUUGAGGAGAAACCCCAAAUGGCUAAUCCGAGCAUCACACCUCCAUGCAAUGCAUCAGCGCUCGUAGAAUGUUCGAAGGGAGAUAAGAAUUCCUAUUCUCCAGCUGCUGAGAUGAAAGCUGAAUCAGGGAACGACGUUAGUCCUGGAGCUGGAGUUACUAAAGCAAGUUCUUCUAUUGCUGAGCCGAUUUCUGGGGAGCAUAGCUCAGGACAAACAAAGGACAGUUCUGAAUUUGAGCAGAAAACAAUGUCAGUGAUGAGGGGAGGCGAACUCGUACAGGUGAGUUAUAAGGUGUACAUCCCAAAAAAGGCCCCUGCUCUAGCCAGGAGGCAACUCAAGCGGUAAGGAAAGGAAAGCAGAAGUGGAUUUUGGAUUAUAAUGACAUUCAAAAGAGAUUCAUGUGUUUGCUGGAAAGCAGUGCACUGUUGGCGUUUGCCCAGCGACAUAAGGUGGUCGACACGGGUCUGCAAUCGGCCCGCCCCCGCACCCGGUCGGAGCGUGGUUGGAUCCCCGACCCGGGAGCAAAGAGGUUGGCCAGCACACCAACCACCGGG